UCACUAUAAAAAGAAUAGAAAACAUAAUAAAAAAACACAAUUUGAUGCAAGAGCUCAGCAGAUAGAUCGAUAUAUUUUCGGUUUUCAUAUAAAUUCAACAUAUAACAAGAUAUAAAUAUAGAUCUAAGACAUUAUAACCUCUUAAGAAUUCAUUACCUGUCACGGAGUACUCUCUAAGACAAUCAAAUCAAGAAUGGAUUACCACAUGUAUUAACAAGAAAUUUCAGAAAAGAAAGUGUCUUUUUUCCUUUAUUACACGUACAAAAAACAGAGAAGAGAAGAUCCAGCAAGGUAUUUACGUGACGUCUUAAACCACAACACCAAUGUAAUCAUGUAAGAACUCAGUCCUUCGGUGUGUCCUUCUCUUACAGCUGCAAAUCUUGCUUCACCGGUUUACCUGCUCGUUUGCAUGGGCAAGAGAAUUGAGCAGACUCAGACAAAGACAAGAAAGAGCGUGUGAGAGAGAGAGAGACCAUUCUCAAGAAUGUACUUACCUACGACUUGAAGAUCCUGAUGACAAUAAGAAGCUCCAUGAAACUGUGAACAUGGAAUGUCAAGGCAUUGACAAGAUCACCACAUUUAGCUUGCACAACCCCUCUCCAAGAUGAUCAGGGAAUUUGCGAAAGCCUCCUCGGUCGAGCCCUGAAGAAUCGUCCUUGACAUUGGAUUCUGACGCUUGCAUUGCAGGGGAGAAAUGGACC
This 701-nucleotide long non-coding RNA is filed under the name Eutrema salsugineum. RNAcentral's name for it is "long non-coding RNA (ESAL_LNC001488)". Lineage: Eukaryota; Viridiplantae; Streptophyta; Magnoliopsida; Brassicales; Brassicaceae. The record is from RNAcentral.